CCAAUAGCGUAUAUUAAAGUUGUUGCAGUUAAAAAGCUCGUAGUUGAAUUUCGGGAUUGACGUAAUGGUCGUGCCUUAAGGGGUAUGAACUGUUACUGUUGAUUCCUCACCUUCUGGAGAAACUUGAUGUCCUUAAUUGGGUGUCUUGCGGAUCCAGGACCUUUACCUUGAAAAAAUUAGAGUGUUUAAAGCAGGCAUUUUUGCUCGAAUACAUUAGCAUGGAAUAAUAGAAUAGGACGGCAUGGUUCUAUUUUGUUGGUUUCUAGGAUCACCGUAAUGAUUAAUAGGGAUAGUUGGGGGCAUUAGUAUUCAAUUGUCAGAGGUGAAAUUCUUGGAUUUAUUGAAGACUAACUACUGCGAAAGCAUUUGCCAAGGAUGUUUUCAUUAAUCAAGAACGAAAGUUAGGGGAUCGAAGACGAUCAGAUACCGUCGUAGUCUUAACCAUAAACUAUGCCGACUAGGAAUCAGACGAUGUUAAUUUUUUAAUGACUCGUUUGGCACCUUACG
RNAcentral lists this ribosomal RNA (507 nucleotides) under uncultured Glomeromycotina. Its description in RNAcentral is "partial small subunit ribosomal RNA". It matches the Rfam family "Eukaryotic small subunit ribosomal RNA", at positions 591 to 1092 of the family's 1831-position model. The record is from RNAcentral. Lineage: Eukaryota; Fungi; Glomeromycota.